Non-coding RNA from Populus trichocarpa (black cottonwood), 100 nucleotides. The record is from Rfam. NCBI's taxonomy places the organism in Eukaryota, Viridiplantae, Streptophyta, Magnoliopsida, Malpighiales, Salicaceae.
GAAAGCUAUUUCACUAUUCUGUGCACACAAUGCUUGAAACAUUAAUCAUGGUUUUUGAAAGUAUUGGAGCAUUGUACACAGAAUAGGUGAAAUAACUUUC